This 287-nucleotide unclassified non-coding RNA is filed under the name uncultured fungus. RNAcentral describes it as "partial contains 5.8S ribosomal RNA, internal transcribed spacer 2, and large subunit ribosomal RNA". Lineage: Eukaryota; Fungi. The record is from RNAcentral.
AACGCAACUUGCGCCAUGUAUAUGGCAUGUCUGUUUGAGUGCCGCAAAGGACUUGUAUUGCGUAUUGGCGGUUGUCUGUGCAUCUGUGCGGACUCUGUCUAAAUGCAGCCAGCAAUGUCGUGGAUGUGACAGUCCGAGUGCUAAGCAUUCUUCUUGGUCUGAUCGCAACUGCGGCCGAGGGUGGGCUAGUGGUGGAUGAUUGUGUGCAAACCAUGUCGUCACUCCCUAUCCCCUCCCCUCCAUCUUCUAUUGGCCUCAAAUCAGGCAGGAUCACCCGCUGAACUUAA